AACGAACGCUGGCGGCAGGCCUAACACAUGCAAGUCGAACGAGAUCUUCGGAUCUAGUGGCGGACGGGUGAGUAACGCGUGGGAACGUGCCCAGAUCUAAGGAAUAGCCACUGGAAACGGUGAGUAAUACCUUAUACGCCCUUCGGGGAAAGAUUUAUCGGAUUUGGAUCGGCCCGCGUUAGAUUAGGUAGUUGGUGGGGUAAUGGCCUACCAAGCCUACGAUCUAUAGCUGGUUUUAGAGGAUGAUCAGCAACACUGGGACUGAGACACGGCCCAGACUCCUACGGGAGGCAGCAGUGGGGAAUCUUGGACAAUGGGGCAACCCUGAUCCAGCCAUGCCGCGUGAGUGAUGAAGGCCUUAGGGUCGUAAAGCUCUUUCGCCUGUGAUGAUAAUGACAGUAGCAGGUAAAGAACCCCCGGCUAAC
This 425-nucleotide ribosomal RNA is filed under the name uncultured bacterium. RNAcentral describes it as "bacterial SSU rRNA". It matches the Rfam family "Bacterial small subunit ribosomal RNA", at positions 29 to 501 of the family's 1533-position model. The record is from RNAcentral.